CCAAUAGCGUAUAUUAAAGUUGUUGCAGUUAAAAAGCUCGUAGUUGAAUUUUAGGCCUGGCCGGGCGGUCCGUCUUUUGGCGAGUACUGUCCUGUUGUCGGGUCUUCCUUCUGGUGAGCCAGUAUGUCCUUAAUUGGGUGUGCCGGGGAGCCAGGACCAUUACCUUGAAAAAAUUAGAGUGUUUAAAGCGGGCUAUUGCAUGAAUAGAUUAGCAUGGAAUAAUAGAAUAGGACGUUGUGUGUCUAUUUUGUUGGUUUCUAGGACCACCGUAAUGAUUAAUGGGGAUAGUUUGGGGCAUUAGUAUUCAAUUGUCAGAGGUGUAAUUCUUGGAUUUAUUGAAGACUAACUAUUGCGAAAGCAUUUGCCAAGGAUGUUUUCAUUAAUCAAGAACGAAAGUUAGGGGAUCGAAGACGAUCAGAUACCGUCGUAGUCUUAACCAUAAACUAUGCCGACUAGGAAUCGGGCGACGUUAUUUUCACGACUCGCUCGGCGCCUUAGG
Molecule: ribosomal RNA, 499 nt
Filed under: uncultured Glomeromycotina
Lineage: Eukaryota; Fungi; Glomeromycota
Description: partial small subunit ribosomal RNA
Rfam family: Eukaryotic small subunit ribosomal RNA
Source: RNAcentral